AGCAGGGACAAGGUACUUCUUUUUGUCAAUUUCUGGAACAUCGGUCUUGUCAGCCUUCUCAACGAUCACCGGAAUUCUGUCUGAGUACUUCUCACGGAUCCUGGCAGAUUCUGCUUGCCUCCUUUCCAGUGGGUGCUCGAGCUUGAAGGAAGUCCUGGCCAUCUCCAACCGAUCGAAGGGGCGCUGCCGCGGAAUCGAUAGAUCGAGGCGGGGGGCGAAUCGAUU
RNAcentral lists this unclassified non-coding RNA (225 nucleotides) under Hevea brasiliensis (rubber tree). The record is from RNAcentral. Lineage: Eukaryota; Viridiplantae; Streptophyta; Magnoliopsida; Malpighiales; Euphorbiaceae.